RNAcentral lists this transfer RNA (77 nucleotides) under Flaviflexus equikiangi. RNAcentral's name for it is "tRNA-Leu". It matches the Rfam family "tRNA". Rfam says of the family: Transfer RNA (tRNA) molecules are approximately 80 nucleotides in length. Their secondary structure includes four short double-helical elements and three loops (D, anti-codon, and T loops). Further hydrogen bonds mediate the characteristic L-shaped molecular structure. tRNAs have two regions of fundamental functional importance: the anti-codon, which is responsible for specific mRNA codon recognition, and the 3' end, to which the tRNAs corresponding amino acid is attached (by aminoacyl-tRNA synthetases). tRNAs cope with the degeneracy of the genetic code in two manners: having more than one tRNA (with a specific anti-codon) for a particular amino acid; and 'wobble' base-pairing, i.e. permitting non-standard base-pairing at the 3rd anti-codon position. The record is from RNAcentral. Lineage: Bacteria; Bacillati; Actinomycetota; Actinomycetes; Actinomycetales; Actinomycetaceae.
GCCCCCGUAGCCCAAUCGGCAGAGGCAGUCGACUUAAAAUCGAUGCAGUGUGGGUUCGAGUCCCACCGGGGGUACCA